This is a non-coding RNA of Nylanderia fulva, 3511 nucleotides long. The record is from RefSeq and is a predicted model, not a curated record. NCBI's taxonomy places the organism in Eukaryota, Metazoa, Arthropoda, Insecta, Hymenoptera, Formicidae.
GGCGUCUUUAGUACGUGUUCGUCAUUGUUUCGUGCGUGUCGUCGUUACGCGAAUCUUCCUCGAUCGAAUUUCGUACGACAAACAUAUAUAGUCAUGUUCUCCCGUUUUCCAUUAUAAAAUUUACCAGGGAACGCGCUGAGAGUCGGUAUGUCCGAAUCCGUCAAAGUAGCAGUAAGAUGUCGUCCUAUGUCCAGCAAGGAAUUACAGCAAGGAUGUCGGGACGUCGUGACAAUCGAUUCACUGACGAAAUCUUGCACCCUGGAAGGUUUCGCCGGUGGAAGUGGAAAAAUUUAUCAAUUUGAUGCCGCGUUUGGUCCAUCCGCUACGACGGAAUCGGUUUACGAAGAUGUGGGUUCGGUUAUCGUCGAGGCUGUCUUGGAGGGUUAUAAUGGCACCGUGUUUGCUUAUGGACAAACAGGCUGUGGAAAAUCAUUCACCAUGCGAGGAUUCAUCGAACGAACGCUGGAACAUUUGUUCGAGGCGACCUCCACUGCCAGCUCCGAGACAAGAUACUUGGCGUUGCUGAGCUAUCUUGAAAUCUACAAUGAACGAUUGCGGGAUCUGUUGCAAGACGAUACCGGGGAGACUCUGACCCUGAAGGAGGAUCCUACAAAAGGCACAUAUGUCGCAGGGGGUCUGCGCGAGGUCACCGUCAAAGAUGCAACCGAAUGCGCCGCGUUGGUCCAGCAAGGGGAUCAAAGAAGAGCAGCAGCCGCGACGAAAAUGAACGCUGCCAGUUCGAGAAGUCACGCCGUUUUGACUCUGUCACUCGAAGCAAUCGCCAUUAAUGACGAUGAUAAACGUGGAAACGGUAUCAGAAGAGGACGGCUGCAUCUGGUCGAUCUUGCAGGAUCCGAAAGACAAGCUAGGACCGGAGCUACAGGUGAUCGUUUGAAGGAAGCUGCCAGUAUCAAUCUAAGCUUGUCGGCAUUGGGAAAUGUCAUUAGCGCGUUGGCUGCCGGAAAUGGAAGACAUGUCCCUUAUAGAGAUAGCAAACUGACGAGACUUCUACGAGAUAGUCUGGGUGGAAAUGCCAGAACCCUGAUGAUCGCCUGCGUGAGUCCAAGCGAUAUCGAUGCUGAAGAGACUCUCAGCACCUUGCGCUAUGCCGCCCGAGCUCGUUGUAUCAAAAAUAAGCCUAUCGUUAAUGAAGAUCCCAAAGACGCUCUUCUCAGACAAUAUCAGUUAGAACUUCAACGUUUGAAAAAAAUGCUCAAUUCUAGUGAUCAAUUCGUUGGAUUGGACUUCCAGAAGGAUACAGAGGAAGAUGGAGAAAAUUUUAAGGAGAAACAAUACUCCGAAGAGGUGGAGAAGCUGAAAAGAGAAUGCGAAAAUUCAAAUUUAUCGGCCCAGAAACUAAAGGAAGAACUAGAAGCCCUAAAAUCUUGGUAUGAAUCGGGAUUAAAUAAAACUGAAAAUUUCAAUCAAGGAAAUGAAGAGAUGAAUGAAUCGGAUAAAGAACGACUAGAAAGAAGAAAGAAGAAGAGAGAGGCAGCUUUGCAAGAUGUAUUAAAAAGAUUGGAAAAGCUGACAAUCGGCGGAGAGGAAAUCAGGAAUGUGGAACUGAAGAAGAGAAGAGAAAAAAGAAAGAAGAAGCUAGAAGCUCUUGUAGGGGCGUUAGAAGCUAAUGAUGCUAAUGGUAGUGUCUUCCAAGUAUAUGGCCAACUCAGAUCGACAGAAGACGCGCUGAAAAGAAUGGCGAAGCGAGUGAAACAACUAGAAGCCGAAGCGGCGGAUCUCCAGGCAUCUUGGGAUGCCGAGCGUCGCGAGCUUCUUCGAAGGGAAUUAUUGACAUCUCAGGUGUGCGAUCUCAUGAUACCUUACCUUCGUCCGGGCUGUCCUUUUCGAGAUAUCACGGCGAUGAGGGAGGCGGCAACAUGGUGCGACGAAUUAGGACGAUGGCGAUUGCUAGACGUGUCUCAUCCUCACAUUCCCCUACCUCCAGCCGCCCCUAUAACACGGGGGGAUGUUCUUCUGACCGGAAAUUCCUCUAAGGCGGAUCUCAAUAAUAAUAGUAAUAACAGUGAUGAGGACGACAGUGAUCAAGAUAAUGAGAGAAAUAGCAAAAGCACGGAAAAGAAAAAGGGUUGGGAUCUCGUGGACAGUUACUUCCGGAGGAGUAGAGUGGAUACUCUCUUAGCACACGCGAGAGAAGCAAAAACCUUUGAACCGGGGAAUCGUCUGAGCAAAUCCGGUGGCUCGGAAGACUCGAUGUCAAUCGCGGGUAGCGGCAGCUAUCUGCAGCUAAACGCGCUAAAUUUACAAAGUAGCGCGCCGGUGCGUGGCGACAACAGUCCGAAUAGAUCGACGAUUCGCGGUGGUUGGAUCCACGAUGAACAAACUCACCGGCCUAUCUAUAAUUCUUUUCUCAACACCACGAAGAAGCCUCCUCCAAGGAUACUCGAAGCCUUACCUUCGUAUCCCCACGACGAUGUGUCUUUCAAAUCACCUGCUCGCCUUGGCAAAGAGGAAUUGAAAAUAUCUGAACGAGGAAAUCUACCGUCGAAAUUGCUACGUAAUAACGAUACCUUUACUAGUCAUCAUCCAUUCCACGUCGAGCAAGCCUACUCGCCAACUUAUUGAUGAAACAUUUGAUAACAUUUAACAAAUCAUCAGACCUUGGCUGUGUGUAUUACAAAAGAUUAGGAAGAUUAUAUGGAAAAUGAGUUAUAAGGUUCAAGAAACAGAGGUCAAGCUGAAAGAAAUGUCAAGGCGACGCCGACAAUAUUGAAGAUUAAUGAAUAAUGGAUCAAACUUUAAUCUGUGAGACGCUGUGCCUUCGAUCUCUUACAAAAGGUGACUUCAGAAUUUUCUCUAAACUUUCGCGCUUAUUUAAAGUUUAUAUUAAAAAAAGUAAACAUCUGCAAGAUAAUAAAUUUAAAAUGAGCGUGUUACAUGAGAAAUGGGUAGAAUUUACAUAAGAUGUCAUUAGAAGUUUGUUUAAUAGUGAUAUUUUUAUAUCUUUCCCAUAAUAAUGUACCUGAGAUUUGCCUCUUUUAAAACGUACCUAAAGUAUAAAAUUGAGGAACAAGUUAGGAAACAAUUUUAAGACUGCUAUAUAUAGGAUAAUUCGUCAAAAAAGCAGUCAGAUAUUAUAGCUCUAUAUCAUAAAUAUUAUAUUAAUAUUAUUUUUAUUACAAGAUUAUGUAAAUUAUAAAUAAAUAGAAAACAAUCGAUAGUUUUGCAGAUUGUUUAUCGUAUUCACGAUCUUUGGAUACAUUGUUGAAAUACUCAAUUUAUCAUAUUGUUGGAUAUAUAAUAGCUAAACGAUUGCUGGUUUCUUAUAUCGAUCGUUUUUCGUCCUUAUGCUCGCCAAAAAAGGACCCAAAUUACAAAAACGUUAAUCUUUAUACACAUAAUAGAUUAGAAAGCGAUGUGUAUAAAGAUGUAUAUAUAUUUAUAAAUAAAGAAAUGUAUAUUCAUAAGUAAUAUUAUAAGAGAUGCUGUUAAUAUGUAACAUAAUACAAAAUGUUCCAAAGAAGUUUUAAUUAAAAGGAUAUUUGUGAUUCAA